AGCAAGUGUAACACCUAUGAUGAAAGAAGUAAAGGGUAUUGUUAACAUCCCUCCUGAGAAGAGUACACAUCAUCCUGACAUGCCAAGAUCUGAAGUCAGUGGAAAUAACAGAGAUGUGGCACAAAACACAGCAAUCAAACAGCUGAAUGUUAAGAAACAACCUGAAGAGAAACUGAGGGCAGCAGCCCAAGCAGAGAAGCCCAGACCUUCCUCUCCCCUGUCACCUCCUCCAGCUUGUCUGGGAGAACACCAAGGCUUUCCCAGGCCAGCCAAGAGAUAUAAUCUCUCCAAUGUGUCCUGGGUUUGCCCCGGGGCCUCCUCCUGGUGGAACAUGGCCGGAACACCUCACCCGUCUAGGAGGCAUCUUUGUCAGACGCAUGAACCACCUCAGCUGGCUCCUUUCGAUGUGAAGGAGCAGCUGCUCUACUCUUAGACUCUCUUUCGUAGCCUUCUGCUACUUGGCUGUACCUAGAAAUUCUGUCCAUAAAAAUUACAAACAGAAUCAGUGACAUCACCCACAGGAACGAGUCCAACUUAUUACCGGCUAUGCGGACAAACCUCUUGCAACGGUUGUAUCAGGAUUGAAUGGCGGGUAGCAAUGGGCCAGAC
Long non-coding RNA from Astatotilapia calliptera (eastern happy), 609 nucleotides. Lineage: Eukaryota; Metazoa; Chordata; Actinopteri; Cichliformes; Cichlidae. The record is from Ensembl.